GAGUUUGAUCCUGGCUCAGGAUGAACGCUAGCGGCAGGCCUAAUACAUGCAAGUCGAACGCUCAGUAGCAAUACUGGGAGUGGCGCACGGGUGCGUAACGCGUACACAAUCUACCUCUAAGCGGGGGACACCUCCUGGAAACGGGAUUAAUACCGCAUAAUAUGCCGAAGUCGCAUGACUUUGGUAUUAAAGCAGCAAUGCACUUAGAGAUGAGUGUGCGUCCCAUUAGGUAGUUGGUGAGGUAACGGCUCACCAAGCCUAUGAUGGGUAGCCGGUCUGAGAGGAUGGUCGGCCACACGGGCACUGAGACACGGGCCCGACUCCUACGGGAGGCAGCAGUAAGGAAUAUUGGUCAAUGGUGGAAACACUGAACCAGCCAUGCCGCGUGGAGGAAUAAGGUCCUACGGAUUGUAAACUCCUUUUGACGAGGAAGAAAAUGUUAGAUUUAUCUAAUUUUGACGGUACUCGUAGAAUAAGCACCGGCUAACUCCGUG
This 494-nucleotide ribosomal RNA is filed under the name uncultured bacterium. RNAcentral describes it as "bacterial SSU rRNA". It matches the Rfam family "Bacterial small subunit ribosomal RNA", at positions 9 to 507 of the family's 1533-position model. The record is from RNAcentral.